Small nuclear RNA from Octodon degus (degu), 137 nucleotides. Its record names the gene U4. It matches the Rfam family "U4 spliceosomal RNA". From Rfam's summary of the family: U4 small nuclear RNA (U4 snRNA) is a component of the major U2-dependent spliceosome. The structure of U4 snRNA from yeast and human has been reported. The record is from Ensembl. NCBI's taxonomy places the organism in Eukaryota, Metazoa, Chordata, Mammalia, Rodentia, Octodontidae.
AGCUUUGCGCAGUGGCAGUAUCAUAGCCAAUGAGGUUUAUCCAAGGCGCGAUUAUUGCUAAUUGAAAAAAGGUAUAUACAAGCCAAGCCUGGUGGUACAUGCCUGCCAUCUUAGCACUUUAGAGGCUGAUACUGGAG